AGUAAUUCUAAAAUUAAGGGAAAAUAUAUAUGUCCAAAAAGCAGAGUGUGAACUUGUUUUGUGGACAAAAAUUUAGAAGCAAGUGUGAACUUGUUUUGUGGAUGGAGGGAGUAUAAGAUAGGUUUUAACAAAUAAAUACAAAAGUGAGACUUGGUGCUAUGGUAAAAGCGUCUAUAUUUUCUUAUCUCUAAGGUCUAUGGU
This 201-nucleotide long non-coding RNA is filed under the name Salvia miltiorrhiza (redroot sage). RNAcentral describes it as "long non-coding RNA (SMIL_LNC009624)". The record is from RNAcentral. Lineage: Eukaryota; Viridiplantae; Streptophyta; Magnoliopsida; Lamiales; Lamiaceae.